This is a non-coding RNA of Paramuricea clavata, 366 nucleotides long. NCBI's taxonomy places the organism in Eukaryota, Metazoa, Cnidaria, Anthozoa, Malacalcyonacea, Plexauridae. The record is from the annotation of a GenBank genome assembly.
GGUAGUACGCUCAUCUCCAAAGCCAAUGCCUCGCUGGGGUGUUGAUGCUAAUAAACAUACAUUGGGCUACCGCGAUGAUUUUUUGAAGAUUUGUCAUUAUCGUACAACGCGUUGGACGGACCGUUCCACGCUUUACGAGGUCGUGAUGAAAGGAAGAUUUUGGUUGGAAGCGUACGAAGGACAUUUGAUGACAGGCAAAUGUCUGAGCACAUUUCUCGGCGAGAUGAGAGAAUGAUUCGCUGGAAAUAACUGGAAUGGACUUUUACAAUGAGCCGCAAUAAGUGUUAUCAAUUUUUCUCAGUGGGACGAUUAGACAGACACACACCAUGCAAGUACGGCAGCUCAUAUAUUGGUAUAGGAAAUUGC